GGCCCGGUAGCUUAGUUGGUAAAGCGCUCGUCUAGCAUACAAGAGUCCUGGGUUUAAAUCCAAGCCGAGCAC
This 72-nucleotide transfer RNA is filed under the name Aedes aegypti (yellow fever mosquito). It matches the Rfam family "tRNA". Rfam says of the family: Transfer RNA (tRNA) molecules are approximately 80 nucleotides in length. Their secondary structure includes four short double-helical elements and three loops (D, anti-codon, and T loops). Lineage: Eukaryota; Metazoa; Arthropoda; Insecta; Diptera; Culicidae. The record is from Rfam by way of RNAcentral.